UGACGGGUCCGGGCCCCUCUGGCGGCCGAGGCGUCGGCCGCGAUGUCGGACUCCUUCU
Molecule: regulatory RNA element, 58 nt
Organism: Methylobacterium sp. Leaf93
Lineage: Bacteria; Pseudomonadati; Pseudomonadota; Alphaproteobacteria; Hyphomicrobiales; Methylobacteriaceae
Rfam family: terC RNA
Source: Rfam